UAAUAAGUGUUUUAUGGCACUUUUUAAGUCCAUAUCCACCUUGUGUGCAAUGUCAGUCGAUCUUCUUCAUGGAGAUCGACCAAACAUCAACCUUUAUCUUUUAACUCUUUGUCUGAAAAAUAUUAUGAAUAAACAAUUCAAAAUA
RNAcentral lists this unclassified non-coding RNA (145 nucleotides) under soil metagenome. RNAcentral describes it as "partial internal transcribed spacer 1". The record is from RNAcentral.